UGGGGGAUAUUGCACAAUGGGCGAAAGCCUGAUGCAGCGACGCCGCGUGGGGGAUGAAGGCUUUCGGGUUGUAAACCUCUUUCGCUAUCGAACAAGGCCCGCUUAGGGUGGGUUGAGGGUAGGUGGAGAAGAAGCGCCGGCUAACUACGUGCCAGCAGCCGCGGUAAUACGUAGGGCGCGAGCGUUGUCCGGAAUUAUUGGGCGUAAAGGGCUUGUAGGCGGCUUGUUGCGCCUGCUGUGAAAACGCGGGGCUUAACUUCGCGCGUGCAGUGGGUACGGGCAGGCUUGAGUGUGGUAUGAGUGACUGGAAUUCCAGGUGUAGCGGUGGAAUGCGCAGAUAUCUGGAGGAGCACCGAUGGCGAAGGCAGGUCACUGGGCCAUUACUGACGCUGAGGAGCGAAAGCAUGGGUAGCGAACAGG
This 420-nucleotide ribosomal RNA is filed under the name bacterium. RNAcentral's name for it is "partial 16S ribosomal RNA". It matches the Rfam family "Bacterial small subunit ribosomal RNA", at positions 355 to 776 of the family's 1533-position model. The record is from RNAcentral.